UACGGGAGGCAGCAGUGGGGAAUAUUGCACAAUGGGCGAAAGCGUGAUGCAGCAACGCCGCGUGGGGGAUGAAGGCCUUCGGGUUGUAAACCCCUUUUAGCAGGGAAGAGGCGAAAAUGACGGUACCGUCAGAAGAAGAGCUGUCCAACUACGUGCCAGCAGCCGCGGUAAUACGUAGGGCGCAAGCGUUGUCCGGAAUUAUUGG
This 205-nucleotide ribosomal RNA is filed under the name uncultured bacterium. Its description in RNAcentral is "partial 16S ribosomal RNA". It matches the Rfam family "Bacterial small subunit ribosomal RNA", at positions 340 to 557 of the family's 1533-position model. The record is from RNAcentral.